UAAAAUAAAAAGAAGCCCAAAAUUCGGCCCACAUAAAAUGGCCCAAAUCCUUCCUUAUCUCUCCCACUCGGUCUCUCUCUCUCUCAGACGCACGCUUCUCUCUUUUCUCUCUCACUGAAAAACUCAAAAUCCAGUCGAGCUCUCUCGACCUCGGCUCCGACGAGGUUGCCGGCGUCGCCGCCGCCUAAGCCCGGCAAGGUCGUGCCUCCUCCCUUUUUCCUAUCAGUCGGAUCUCUCUCUCUUUCCUCCCCAAAAUCUGCUCUUCUUCUUGAUUCAAAAACCAGUCGAUCGGCCCUUCCCAGCUCGCUCGACGUCUUCUUCUCCGGCCAUCCAGCCGCCUGCUCCGGUCGUCGUCAUCUGUCGACGCGUCAAAUCCCCGGCGCCGUCCUCUUUCCUCCCCCAACAUCGAGCCCUGAUUCUCAAGGAAUCAUUGCUGCUGCUGCUUCUACCCUUUCGAAAUUGGGCGGCCGGUCGCCGUCUGGGAGCGGCGUUGCUCCGGCCUGGAGCCCAUCGGCCUCCUCUCCUUCCGGCCGCUCUCUCUCUUUCUCGGCCAAGAUCUGAUCGGCCCUCUUCCUCGGUUGUUCAGCGGCCAUCGGUUCCGGUCUCUCUCCCUCACGCUGAAGUUCCGCCGCCGCCUUGUGAAGGCCGGCGAGCAGGGGAGUGUCCGACGCCCUCAUCGCGCCGCUGCUGCCCUUGGAAUGGUGCCGCUGUUCCUCCCGGCGGCAGGUGAAAGGCUCGCCGAUCCGCUGCUGUCCUUGGAUCGUUGUUGCUGUUUGGGGUCCCGAUGAGGUUCGAGUUGCGUCACGCCGCCUUCUUCCUCCGUUCCGGUCCCGAUUCAGAUGUCAAAGCAGGCGGGGAGUCGAGCCUUGUUUCUUUUCCGCCUCUGCCGCCAUGGUUCUGCCGCCAUCUCCACCGUUUGUGGAAGAUCAGCGAUUCAGCGCCGUUGUUUCGUUCGUGACGCUGCUGCUGUUGUCACGCAAUUUCCGCCGAGGCAGCAGGAGAUGCCGCUGAAAUCUGUCCUCUGCUCAAGAACCGGCUCAAGCCUCACUCUCUCCCUUUUUCUAUUGAAUUAUGCUCCACUGGCGAUCUAUUGAGUAAGAAGGGAGAAGGAUUUGGUGGGGAGCAAAAGAUAAUGGAGUUGGUGGAGUGGGAUGUUUGGUGAGGUGGGGUUGGUGUUGGUGCUGAUACUUUGAGUGUGGUGGGGAAAUUGGUGGAGUGGAGAAGUGGGGAGUAAAGACGUGUACAUCAUUAGCAAAAGAUUGAAAUAAUAACUGUAUUUAAACUCUAAUUGAUUGAAGAGCUUUUGUUUUUGUAAUAUACUAAACGAUUUUCCCCAAGCUGGGAACUAGCCUGUAAUCUGUGAACUGUAAAUAAAUACUGGCUUCGAUUUUCAAUCA
This is a long non-coding RNA of Salvia miltiorrhiza (redroot sage), 1397 nucleotides long. RefSeq lists it as uncharacterized. Lineage: Eukaryota; Viridiplantae; Streptophyta; Magnoliopsida; Lamiales; Lamiaceae. The transcript is spliced from 2 exons. The record is from RefSeq and is a predicted model, not a curated record.